GCCGCCGGCGUUCCUCCCGCCUCUCGUUCGUCGUAUUGGUCGCCGUCGAGCUCGCUGACCUGCGGUCCCGUCCACCGUCUACCUCGCCAUUCCGGUCGCCGUCAUCAUCUCGCAGGUGAGACUCUUGCCGGCUUCCUCCCUGUCCCAGCGCAGCUGCAAUGCAAGCACUGGUCUUGUUUUGGUUCUUGAUCAGUGUUGUCUGCAAUUGUUUCAGUAUUGAUUCUGCUACUUUCGGUCAGUGUACUCUGUAGCCAUGGGAUCAGUCAUUCAGUCAGUGUUGGUCCCUGUCAGUCAUUCAGUCAGUGUACUCCCAGGUCAUGCCUUACUUUCAGUGUUGGUUCUGUAGUAGUUCUACGGUGUUGGUCCCUGUCAUUCAGUCAGUGUACAUGAACAAGUACAUGAAGAACUAGAUCAUAUUUGAUUGGAAAUGUUUUAUAUGAACAAGUACAUGAACAAGUAUGAACU
This 465-nucleotide long non-coding RNA is filed under the name Triticum aestivum (bread wheat). RNAcentral's name for it is "long non-coding RNA (TAES_LNC019602)". The record is from RNAcentral. Lineage: Eukaryota; Viridiplantae; Streptophyta; Magnoliopsida; Poales; Poaceae.